This 708-nucleotide long non-coding RNA is filed under the name Dromaius novaehollandiae (emu). Its description in RNAcentral is "lncRNA (ENSDNVG00000017375.1)". Lineage: Eukaryota; Metazoa; Chordata; Aves; Casuariiformes; Dromaiidae. The record is from RNAcentral.
AGCKCUCUUCUUUCUUUCGUGUUUAUUAUGUGUGACAUUGAUUCUCCUAGCGACAACACUCCCACUUAUUUCAACUGAAACAGGAGUAAGUCCUGGGAUCAUCUUAAUCCACAAUCAAACUGAAUACAGUAUCACACUGAAAAAAUCAGAGCUGAAUGAGCUGAACCUGAAGACAUGUUAGGCAAGAGAAAAAUGAUUCAUAUGCAGAGACUAGGUGGACGUUGCCUCCUACCGAACUGUUCACCUGCCACGAAGUGACUUCUGCAUUGGUAUGUAACUCCUUUCUUCCUAACAAAGACAACUGAACUUUGCCUGCACGCAAAUCGUGGGAAGAGGAGCAUGGAGCAGUUUUAGCGUGAGAAAAGGAAGAAUAAGCGUAAGAAGGMCUGCUGAGGGGAGUUCUUGGUCCCUGCAACAGCACAGAGCCAUUUCGGAUAAGCAGCGGAUCAGCCAGUGCCAUCCCUGGGACAGGUCUCUCCUGUCCUCUCGGCAGGGGAAGCCAGCAGCUCCAGGCAAGCCCAUGUCCUCCUCCUGACUGCGAGUCCACGCCUCGCAAUCCCAUCCUGAAAACAGUUGCCCAGGGAGCCUUCCCAGGCCUGCCUGUAUCCUGGGAAAGGAGCCUGCUGCGGCCACCUCAAGCUUGAGACGGAGAGAGAGAGCGAGGUAUGAACGUGCGCUGAAGAUGAUUAACUGGUUGUUAUUAAUCGU